GACGAACGCUGGCGGCGUGCUUAAUACAUGCAAGUCGAACGGAAAGGCCCUGCUUUUGUGGGGUGCUCGAGUGGCGAACGGGUGAGUAACACGUGAGUAACCUGCCCUUGACCUUGGGAUAACUUCAGGAAACUGGGGCUAAUACCGGAUAGGAGCUCCUGCUGCAUGGUGGGGGUUGGAAAGUUUCGGCGGUUGGGGAUGGACUCGCGGCUUAUCAGCUUGUUGGUGGGGUAGUGGCUUACCAAGGCUUUGACGGGUAGCCGGCCUGAGAGGGUGACCGGCCACAUUGGGACUGAGAUACGGCCCAGACUCCUACGGGAGGCAGCAGUGGGGAAUAUUGCACAAUGGGCGGAAGCCUGAUGCAGCAACGCCGCGUGCGGGAUGACGGCCUUCGGGUUGUAAACCGCUUUCGCCUGUGACGAAGCGUGAGUGACGGUAAUGGGUAAAGAAGCACCGGCUAACUACGUG
RNAcentral lists this ribosomal RNA (468 nucleotides) under uncultured bacterium. Its description in RNAcentral is "partial 16S ribosomal RNA". It matches the Rfam family "Bacterial small subunit ribosomal RNA", at positions 28 to 507 of the family's 1533-position model. The record is from RNAcentral.